Molecule: ribosomal RNA, 253 nt
Filed under: uncultured bacterium
Lineage: Bacteria
Description: partial 16S ribosomal RNA
Rfam family: Bacterial small subunit ribosomal RNA
Source: RNAcentral
UACGGGGGGAGCAAACGUUGUUCGGAAUCACUGGGCGUAAAGGGCGUGUAGGCGGCUGAAUAAGUGGGAUGUUAAAUCCCCCGGCUCAACCGGGGACCUGCAUCUCAUACUGUUCAGCUCGAGCACAUCAGAGGAGACUGGAAUUCAUGGUGUAGCAGUGAAAUGCGUAGAGAUCAUGAGGAAGACCAGUGGCGAAGGCGGGUCUCUGGACAGUUCCUGACACUGAGACACGAAGGCCAGGGGAGCAAACGGG